This 446-nucleotide ribosomal RNA is filed under the name uncultured bacterium. RNAcentral describes it as "bacterial SSU rRNA". It matches the Rfam family "Bacterial small subunit ribosomal RNA", at positions 958 to 1397 of the family's 1533-position model. The record is from RNAcentral.
AACGCGAAGAACCUUACCUGGGUUUGACAUGCCAGGAUUAUCCCCGGGAAACCGGGGUAGGCCCUUCGGGGUACAACUGGUACAGGUGCUGCAUGGCUGUCGUCAGCUCGUGUCGUGAGAUGUCGGGUUAAGUCCCUUAACGAGCGAAACCUUUACCCUUAGUUACCAGCGGGUUAUGCCGGGGACUCUAAGGGGACUGCCGGUGUCAAACCGGAGGAAGGUGGAGAUGACGUCAAGUCCUCAUGGCCUUUAUGCCCAGGGCUACACACGUGCUACAAUGGCGUAGAUAAAGCGAACCGAAAGCGCGAGCUCCAGGAAAACGCAAAAAAUACGCCUCAGUUCAGAUUGGAGGCUGCAACUCGCCUCCAUGAAGUUGGAAUCGCUAGUAAUCGCGGAUCAGCUACGCCGCGGUGAAUGUGUUCCCGGGCCUUGUACACACCGGCUAC